RNAcentral lists this long non-coding RNA (688 nucleotides) under Mus musculus (house mouse). RNAcentral's name for it is "predicted gene, 35281". Lineage: Eukaryota; Metazoa; Chordata; Mammalia; Rodentia; Muridae. The record is from RNAcentral.
CCCAGGUCCCAGGAAUCACAGUCCGGCAUCCUGACAUGCUGCUCUUCCUUGCUGAGGAAUGAGAUGAGUUACUGGCAUUUGAAAAACAAGUUAGUGGAGAACAAAGCACGCUUCGCUUCGGCUUUCCCAGGAGUAAUACAUACCCCCAGGCCGUCUGAUUUGGAACCUGUGUACAAGAACUUUGAAGGCCCUGCUAAUCUCAGAAGCUGCUGUACCUUGUUCCAUCCCUGCAGCAUCUCUCUCUGCCUGCCACUGAGGUUCUCACUCCCAUUUUACAGGGUGAAUGGAUGGCACGUGAGACCUGCCCACACCAUCUCAUUAUGAACAGAAGAGGUGCAUCCUGGCAUCCUCUUGCCACAUCAGCUGCACACCCAGAUCACCCACCCUUGGUACUGUUGAUGCCACCUUGGUUUCAUGAGAAAAGAAUCUGAAAUCAAUGCCAAGAAGAAUAAGUGGAGCCCAAGAGGAAGAAACCAAUGUCUGUAUUAUUUGAGCCCCUGGAUCCAGCUGAGACUGUGCUUAUAAAUAUCCUACUUACGGGAGACAAUGCAUUCUCCUUCCUUCACCGAGAUGAUUUGGGUUGUAUUUUCUGUCACUAUUGCUUGAAAAAAGUUCUGAUACAUGAUAUCAGGUGUCACAUUCACAUAACUCUAAAUAAAGGAAAUGUGCUUUUCUGGAAGUAAUUAUA